UACGUAGGGGGCUAGCGUUGUCCGGAAUCAUUGGGCGUAAAGAGCGUGUAGGCGGCCCGGUAAGUCCGCUGUGAAAGUCGGGGGCUCAACCCUCGAAUGCCGGUGGAUACUGUCGGGCUAGAGUGCGGAAGAGGCGAGUGGAAUUCCUGGUGUAGCGGUGAAAUGCGCAGAUAUCAGGAGGAACACCAAUUGCGAAGGCAGCUCGCUGGGACGUAACUGACGCUGGAGACGCGAAAGCGUGGGGAGCAAACAGG
This 254-nucleotide ribosomal RNA is filed under the name uncultured bacterium. RNAcentral's name for it is "partial 16S ribosomal RNA". It matches the Rfam family "Bacterial small subunit ribosomal RNA", at positions 524 to 776 of the family's 1533-position model. The record is from RNAcentral.